CGCCAGACUCCUACGGGAGGCAGCAGUGAGGAAUAUUGGUCAAUGGCCGGGAGGCUGAACCAGCCAAGUCGCGUGAGGGAAGACGGCCCUACGGGUUGUAAACCUCUUUUGUCAGGGAGCAAGGUGCAGGUCGGGACCUGCUGUGAGAGUACCUGAAGAAAAAGCAUCGGCUAACUCCGUGCCAGCAGCCGCGGUAAUACGGAGGAUGCGAGCGUUAUCCGGAUUUAUUGGGUUUAAAGGGUGCGCAGGCGGAGGUGCAAGUCAGUGGUCAAAUUGCGGGGCUCAACCCCGUCCGGCCGUUGAAACUGGGGGCCUUGAGUGGGCGAGAAGAAGGCGGAAUGCGUGGUGUAGCGGUGAAAUGCAUAGAUAUCACGCAGAACCCCGAUUGCGAAGGCAGCCUUCCGGCGCCCUACUGACGCUGAGGCACGAAAGUGCGGGGAUCGAACAGGAUUAGAUACCCCCGUAUCG
RNAcentral lists this ribosomal RNA (468 nucleotides) under uncultured bacterium. Its description in RNAcentral is "bacterial SSU rRNA". It matches the Rfam family "Bacterial small subunit ribosomal RNA", at positions 329 to 793 of the family's 1533-position model. The record is from RNAcentral.